RNAcentral lists this ribosomal RNA (2434 nucleotides) under bacterium. RNAcentral describes it as "partial 23S ribosomal RNA". It matches the Rfam family "Bacterial large subunit ribosomal RNA", at positions 957 to 2855 of the family's 2925-position model. The record is from RNAcentral.
CGAAUACCGCAUGUGGUAUCACGAUAGUCAGUACGUGGGGGCUAAGCUCCAUGUACGCAAGGGGAACAGCCCAGACCGUCAGCUAAGGUCCCUAAGUUCUUACUCAGUGUAAAAGGUAGUGUUUCGCCAUAGACAGGUAGGAGGUUGGCUUAGAGGUAGCCACCCUUUAAAGAGUGUGUAACAACUCACUACUCGACGGCGAGAUGCGCCGAAAAUGUAUCGGGGCUUAAGUAAGACACCGAAGCUACGGGUUCGCUGACUUCACAGAGGGGAUAAUUAAUCCUUUCAAAUUUUAUGGGGCGUUAUGUAUGGAGCACGUCGCGGCUGAUUGCCGGUCAAACUCUCGUACACGAUGCGCAGUAUGUGCUUCGCAAAAACGUCCCACCAGUUUUGGGGGCCUUUCGUCUAAUUGGUAAAGACGCCGGGUCCGAAGCCCGGGAAUGCGGGUUCAAGUCCUGCGGGGCCCUCCAAAACAAAAUACUAUAAUCAGGUGGCGUCUUUUGUAGAUGCCCCCUCUGUGAAGUCAGUGAGCGGUAGGAGAGCGUUCGUAUCUAGCAUUGAAGCGGUAGUCGCGAGACACCGUGGAGCGUUACGAAGUGAGAAUGUUGGGAUGAGUAACCACAAUUCUAAUGAGAAAUUGGAACCCUGAAAAUCCAAGGUUUCCGUGGCACUGGCAAUCAACCACGGGUUAGGCGGCCCUAAGCGGAUGCCGAAAGGCGAACGCGAUGGACAGCAGGUUAAUAUUCCUGCUCAAGCCUAUGAUCAUAUCGAGGGGACGAAGGACACAGGUGUCCGUGCCUUACUGGUUUGGCAUCGUUUGGCGCAAGACUUCGCAGCAAUGCGAUUUCGGCGCAGGACGGAACUUGGGAGUUUCUCCCAGGAACGGACAUGAAGAGCCUUCCGAGAAAAGCCUCGUAAAGCGAUCAUAGGUUUUCCGUACCGGAAACCGACACAGGUGGAUAGGGCGAGUAGCCCAAAGGGAACGGAUGAGACACCGCUAAGGAACUCGGCAAAAAAGCGGCCGUAAGUUAGCGAUAAGGCCUGCCUGUCACCGCAAGGUGAUGGGCCGCAGCGAAAGUAUCUCUGGCGACUGUUUACCAAAAACACAGCUCCCUGCGAACUCGUAAGAGGAUGUAUAGGGGGUGACACCUGACCGAUGCGAGAAGGUCAAAACUGCCGGUAAAGCGGGAGCAAUCCCGUGUAGCUGAGUGGUCGAAGCCCUCGUCAAUGUCAGCGAUAACUAUAAUCGUUCUAAGGUAGCGCAAUUCCUUUUCGGGUAAGUUCCGAAGCGCACGAAAGGUGUAACGAUCAGAGAACUGUCUCGGCGGUGCGUCCGGUGAAAAUGCGAUUCCAGUGAAGACGCUGGAUACCUGCAGCGGGACGAAAAGACCCCGGAAGCUUUACUGCAGCCUGGUAUUGGUAAUAGGGGGUUACUGCGUAGUGUAGUGGGGAGCCUUUGAAGCCGUCCUUUUGGGGAUGGUGGAGGCGACAAUGAAACACCCAUCUGUAAUUCUUUAUUAUCUAACCGCGAGGGAACCAUACCGGAAACCCUUGCGAGACAGUGCUUGGUAGGCAGUUUAAAUGGGGCGUUUUCCUCCAAAAAAGUAACGGAGGAGUUUAUUAAGGUCGGCUAGUGGCGGAUGGAAAUCGCCAUCGUCGUGUAAACGCAUAAGCCGGCUUGACUGCAAGACCCACAAGUCGCGCAGGCACGAAAGUGGAAGUUAGUGACCCGACGGCACUUUAUAGAAAGGCCGGAGACACCGGAUAAAAGCUACUCCGGGGAUAACAGGCUGGUGAGGCCCGAGCGUCCAUAGCGACGGCCUCGCUCGGCACCUCGAUGUCGGCUCGCCUUAGCGCGGGGGUGAAGAAGCUCCCAAGCGUUUGGCUGUUCGCCAAUUAAAAGGGCACGUGAGCUGGGUUCAGACCGUCAAGAAGCGGAAAAUAUUUUGGCUUUUUGACGGUCUGGGUCCCGAGGUAAUGACAUCAGUCACGGCGGCCGUAUGAAGUAAUUCAUACGGACCAUACCAACUAAUAUCGGUGAAACCCUAGUUGAAAAUCAGGGCAACACCGAGGGAAUGAUUUUUUGACCAUCUGUUUUGAAACAGAAAAGAAAUCGGCCCGUAGAGACUACAUGUUGGUCUCCCUUAUAAGUUUUUCAAACUUAUCAGGGAUGAAGAUAUAGUCCAAUGCGCGCAGUAAUGCGCGAGAAGCAUGCGUGAGACAGGUCGGUCUCUCUCUGCUGCAGGCGUGUAUGUGUUUGAGGGGAGUUGGCUCUAGUACGAGAGGACCGAGCUGAACAUACCUCUGGUGUACCGGCUUUGCCACCAGGUGAACUGCCGGGUAGCUAUGUGUGGAAGGGAUAAGCGCUGAAAGCAUCUAAGCGCGAAGCCCACCCCAAGAUUAGACACAGGCCUCCUCGGAGACUACGAGGUCC